GUUCUCAAACCCUAAGGAGCUCCAAAGCUAAGCUGGUUUUGAUAUCGAACAACUGCCCGCCUUUGAGGAAGUCGGAAAUUGAGUACUACGCCAUGCUUUCUAAAGUUGGUGUCCACCAUUACAAUGGAAACAAUGUUGAUUUGGGAACUGCCUGUGGAAAUUAUUUCAGAGUGUCGUGCCUCAGCAUCAUUGAUCCAGGUUCGAUAUGCCUCUGUUUUUUUUUCUCGUUAGCCGCGU
This is a non-coding RNA of Erythranthe guttata (spotted monkey flower), 237 nucleotides long. The record is from RefSeq and is a predicted model, not a curated record. Lineage: Eukaryota; Viridiplantae; Streptophyta; Magnoliopsida; Lamiales; Phrymaceae.